GCCGGGCGUGGUGGCGCAUGCCUGUAAUCCUAGCUACUCAGGAGGCUGAGGCAGGAGAAUCGCUUGAACCCUGGAGGGGGAGGUUGCAGUGAGCUGAGAUUGUGCCACUGUACUCCAGCCUGGGUGACGGAGCGAGAUUCUGUCUUAA
This is an unclassified non-coding RNA of Macaca fascicularis (crab-eating macaque), 148 nucleotides long. It matches the Rfam family "Metazoan signal recognition particle RNA". Rfam says of the family: The signal recognition particle (SRP) is a universally conserved ribonucleoprotein. It is involved in the co-translational targeting of proteins to membranes. Lineage: Eukaryota; Metazoa; Chordata; Mammalia; Primates; Cercopithecidae. The record is from Ensembl.